CAGCAGCCGCGGGAAUACAGAGGGUGCGAGCGUUAAUCGGAUUUACUGGGCGUAAAGCGUGCGUAGGCGGCUUCUUAAGUCGGAUGUGAAAUCCCUGAGCUUAACUUAGGAAUUGCAUUCGAUACUGGGAAGCUAGAGUAUGGGAGAGGAUGGUAGAAUUCCAGGUGUAGCGGUGAAAUGCGUAGAGAUCUGGAGGAAUACCGAUGGCGAAGGCAGCCAUCUGGCCUAAUACUGACGCUGAGGUACGAAAGCAUGGGGAGCAAACAGGAUUAGAUACCCCCGUAUCCCUGUCUCUUAUACA
RNAcentral lists this ribosomal RNA (301 nucleotides) under uncultured bacterium. RNAcentral describes it as "partial 16S ribosomal RNA". It matches the Rfam family "Bacterial small subunit ribosomal RNA", at positions 509 to 809 of the family's 1533-position model. The record is from RNAcentral.